RNAcentral lists this ribosomal RNA (605 nucleotides) under Sebaldella sp. INBio2556N. RNAcentral describes it as "bacterial SSU rRNA". It matches the Rfam family "Bacterial small subunit ribosomal RNA", at positions 80 to 701 of the family's 1533-position model. Lineage: Bacteria; Fusobacteriati; Fusobacteriota; Fusobacteriia; Fusobacteriales; Leptotrichiaceae. The record is from RNAcentral.
CGGGGAGAGGGUAUCAUGGCGGACCGGUGAGUAACGCGUAAAGAACUUGCCAUAUGGACAGGGAUAACCGAUGGAAACGACGGAUAAGACCUGAUAUAAUGGACUGAUGGCAUCAUUGGUCUAUGAAAAGCAAUGCCAUAUGAGAGCUUUGCGUCCUAUUAGCUAGUUGGUAGUGUAACGGACAACCAAGGCGAUGAUAGGUAGCCGGCCUGAGAGGGUGGACGGCCACAAGGGGACUGAGAUACGGCCCUUACUCUUACGGGAGGCAGCAGUGGGGAAUAUUGGACAAUGGAGGUAACUCUGAUCCAGCAAUUCUGUGUGCACGACGAAGGUCUUCGGAUUGUAAAGUGCUUUAAGUUGGGAAGAAAAAAAUGACGGUACCAACAGAAUAAGCGACGGCUAAAUACGUGCCAGCAGCCGCGGUAAUACGUAUGUCGCAAGCGUUAUCCGGAAUUAUUGGGCAUAAAGGGCAUCUAGGCGGGGUUUCAAGUCGACGGUGAAAACUAGUGGCUCAACCAUUAGCUUGCCGACGAAACUGAAAUUCUAGAGUAUUGGAAAGGUGGGCGGAACUACAUGAGUAGAGGUGAAAUUUCGUAGAUAUAUGU